RNAcentral lists this transfer RNA (72 nucleotides) under Fukomys damarensis (Damara mole-rat). It matches the Rfam family "tRNA". Rfam says of the family: Transfer RNA (tRNA) molecules are approximately 80 nucleotides in length. The record is from Rfam by way of RNAcentral. Lineage: Eukaryota; Metazoa; Chordata; Mammalia; Rodentia; Bathyergidae.
AGGAAUGUAGCUCAGUGGCAGAGUACUUGCCUAGGAUGCACAAGGCCCUGGGUUCAAUCCUCAGCAGUGCCA